CAGGACGUGGCUAAAUCAGAAAAGCACCUCCCUUACACUGAGAAGACAUCCGUGCAAAUCGGAUCGGCCUGA
Molecule: transfer RNA, 72 nt
Filed under: Anableps anableps (largescale foureyes)
Lineage: Eukaryota; Metazoa; Chordata; Actinopteri; Cyprinodontiformes; Anablepidae
Description: tRNA-Val
Rfam family: tRNA
About the family: Transfer RNA (tRNA) molecules are approximately 80 nucleotides in length.
Source: RNAcentral